This 1302-nucleotide ribosomal RNA is filed under the name Klebsiella pneumoniae. RNAcentral's name for it is "bacterial SSU rRNA". It matches the Rfam family "Bacterial small subunit ribosomal RNA", at positions 248 to 1533 of the family's 1533-position model. The record is from RNAcentral. Lineage: Bacteria; Pseudomonadati; Pseudomonadota; Gammaproteobacteria; Enterobacterales; Enterobacteriaceae.
GUAGGUGGGGUAACGGCUCACCUAGGCGACGAUCCCUAGCUGGUCUGAGAGGAUGACCAGCCACACUGGAACUGAGACACGGUCCAGACUCCUACGGGAGGCAGCAGUGGGGAAUAUUGCACAAUGGGCGCAAGCCUGAUGCAGCCAUGCCGCGUGUGUGAAGAAGGCCUUCGGGUUGUAAAGCACUUUCAGCGGGGAGGAAGGCGAUAAGGUUAAUAACCUUGUCGAUUGACGUUACCCGCAGAAGAAGCACCGGCUAACUCCGUGCCAGCAGCCGCGGUAAUACGGAGGGUGCAAGCGUUAAUCGGAAUUACUGGGCGUAAAGCGCACGCAGGCGGUCUGUCAAGUCGGAUGUGAAAUCCCCGGGCUCAACCUGGGAACUGCAUUCGAAACUGGCAGGCUAGAGUCUUGUAGAGGGGGGUAGAAUUCCAGGUGUAGCGGUGAAAUGCGUAGAGAUCUGGAGGAAUACCGGUGGCGAAGGCGGCCCCCUGGACAAAGACUGACGCUCAGGUGCGAAAGCGUGGGGAGCAAACAGGAUUAGAUACCCUGGUAGUCCACGCCGUAAACGAUGUCGAUUUGGAGGUUGUGCCCUUGAGGCGUGGCUUCCGGAGCUAACGCGUUAAAUCGACCGCCUGGGGAGUACGGCCGCAAGGUUAAAACUCAAAUGAAUUGACGGGGGCCCGCACAAGCGGUGGAGCAUGUGGUUUAAUUCGAUGCAACGCGAAGAACCUUACCUGGUCUUGACAUCCACAGAACUUUCCAGAGAUGGAUUGGUGCCUUCGGGAACUGUGAGACAGGUGCUGCAUGGCUGUCGUCAGCUCGUGUUGUGAAAUGUUGGGUUAAGUCCCGCAACGAGCGCAACCCUUAUCCUUUGUUGCCAGCGGUCCGGCCGGGAACUCAAAGGAGACUGCCAGUGAUAAACUGGAGGAAGGUGGGGAUGACGUCAAGUCAUCAUGGCCCUUACGACCAGGGCUACACACGUGCUACAAUGGCAUAUACAAAGAGAAGCGACCUCGCGAGAGCAAGCGGACCUCAUAAAGUAUGUCGUAGUCCGGAUUGGAGUCUGCAACUCGACUCCAUGAAGUCGGAAUCGCUAGUAAUCGUAGAUCAGAAUGCUACGGUGAAUACGUUCCCGGGCCUUGUACACACCGCCCGUCACACCAUGGGAGUGGGUUGCAAAAGAAGUAGGUAGCUUAACCUUCGGGAGGGCGCUUACCACUUUGUGAUUCAUGACUGGGGUGAAGUCGUAACAAGGUAACCGUAGGGGAACCUGCGGUUGGAUCACCUCCUUACCUUAAAGAA